Prosopis cineraria is the source of this 1338-nucleotide long non-coding RNA. RefSeq lists it as uncharacterized. Lineage: Eukaryota; Viridiplantae; Streptophyta; Magnoliopsida; Fabales; Fabaceae. The transcript has 3 exons. The record is from RefSeq and is a predicted model, not a curated record.
AAUCUAUCUGUCAUUGUCCCUCAACCUCUAGCACUCCAUCUAACGCUCAAGCCCUCAGUCACUUAACUCGCUGUCUCAGCUACCGCCACGCUCGCUGCCGCUCAACCUCAGCGCCGUGAUCGCAGUUGCAUCUGAUUCCUUUUCCACUCGCCGUUCUCAGCUCCGGUCUUGUGUUCGCGUUCGAAGACCAUUCUCACGCUGUUCUUUACUUCUUCGAAAAUCCCCAAUUUCCAAAGUUCCCUCCCUUCUCAGAUGAGAAGCUUAAUGAACAGUGUGGUGUGGUGGCUCCUUAAUUUUCAAGAAUUAAAGUUUAAGGUCUAUUGACUUGGAGUGUAACUAUUUCCAAAGAUGAUUUUACUUUCUUGUAAAAAAAUAUUAUUUGUUUCCUUUUAAUUGAUGCCAGCUUGUAUCAUCGCACUUUACCGUAUGUAAAAUUUACUAUAUGUAUAAAUGAUUUUUCAGAUUUCUCACAAUGUGUGUGAGAAUGCUGAAAAUUUGUAAUUUUUUUUAAUUUCAAUGUAGCAACCAUUGUAGCCUAUUAGUGAGUCCGUAUAAGAUAACGGUGCUUUAACUGCUUUAUACCAUUGAUGAUCUUGCUGCGCAUAAUAUUAUUGGCCUCAGGACUGAGGAGCAUAAUCAUCCAUAGCAAUAGCAUUAUGUUUAAUCUCUGUGUCCAGCUUAGACGUAUUUCUUUUGAGCAAGUCUUAUUCUUGAGGCAGGCAAUUGAGUUUUGAAAACAGGGGAAGGAGUUCCAGAGAACUGAUGCUGUCUCCCUUCGGCCAAAGCCCAUCUGGAUCCAAAUCUGAGAAGCCCUUCCCUUGCCAUUUGUGGCGGCCAAUGCAUCUCCCAGAAACCCUAAAAUGGUCAGCACUGCCCUCACCAGACGAUGAAGCACACAUGGAAACUCUCCAACGCAGCCCAAGCAGAGUUGUUCUGCUUCCACAGAACCUCUGCAAAACCAAAACCCCUUAUCCCCUUUCCUAUCUUCCUCCUAAGCUCUGCAAAUUACGUAUGCACCACCCAAGUCAAUACCUACACUCAAUCCUCCGAACAUUCCAUGCUCCGUGAGAUCGUUGGUUUAUUCUCCUACAAUCCCUAUUUCCAUAAUUGGAUAGCCAGAGAGGAUUUCAAAAGGGAAGUUAUGAACUUGGCAUGUAAAUUGGUUCGGGUAGCCGAUGACCCUAGUGUAGUUCUUAAUGUUUUGGAGAAGAAUUCUCAGUUUUUGUUUUGGAGGUGUCCUGAUGGGACAGCCCUUGUUGAUCUUUUGGAUGUGAUGGAAUCAUGGUCUCACUUGUCUCUAAUGGUAUAUUUGAAUUUCAACAGAUGCAGUUGAUCUGA